This 489-nucleotide ribosomal RNA is filed under the name uncultured bacterium. RNAcentral describes it as "partial 16S ribosomal RNA". It matches the Rfam family "Bacterial small subunit ribosomal RNA", at positions 30 to 506 of the family's 1533-position model. The record is from RNAcentral.
AUUGAACGCUGGCGGCAGGCCUAACACAUGCAAGUCGAACGGUAACAGGAAGAAGCUUGCUUCUUUGCUGACGAGUGGCGGACGGGUGAGUAAUGUCUGGGAAACUGCCUGAUGGAGGGGGAUAACUACUGGAAACGGUAGCUAAUACCGCAUAACGUCGCAAGACCAAAAAGGGGGACCUUCGGGCCUCUUGCCAUCGGAUGUGCCCAGAUGGGAUUAGCUAGUAGGUGGGGUAACGGCUCACCUAGGCGACGAUCCCUAGCUGGUCUGAGAGGAUGACCAGCCACACUGGAACUGAGACACGGUCCAGACUCCUACGGGAGGCAGCAGUGGGGAAUAUUGCACAAUGGGCGCAAGCCUGAUGCAGCCAUGCCGCGUGUAUGAAGAAGGCCUUCGGGUUGUAAAGUACUUUCAGCGGGGAGGAAGGGAGUAAAGUUAAGACCUUUGCUCAUUGACGUUACCCGCAGAAGAAGCACCGGCUAACUCCGG